Triticum aestivum (bread wheat) is the source of this 984-nucleotide long non-coding RNA. RefSeq lists it as uncharacterized. The record is from RefSeq and is a predicted model, not a curated record. The transcript has 2 exons. NCBI's taxonomy places the organism in Eukaryota, Viridiplantae, Streptophyta, Magnoliopsida, Poales, Poaceae.
UGGCCCAAGCUUGAUCAACGCACAGAACUAAAAGCCCAGCCCAUGUGACAUCGUGGCUUUGCCCUGUGCCGUUUGUUUUGCCCUGCCAUCAAUCAGAAUCAUCAGAUCGGCAUCCGAUCAGAUCGACCGUGUAUCUGCGUCUCGCUGCUAUAUGGGAGUCUAGGUCUAGUGCACUUCCCGUGGCCACUUGCCGCCGUUCGCCUCGCCGCCGUCCACAAUCACAUACAAGCACACGGAGACGGAGGGACGCCAAGAGAUUGGAGACCUGCUGUGAGCAUCUAUGUAUAUCUGUCCAUUUAGUAGUCCUGCAACGGCGGCCUCUUUUUGCCGUCGCCGGCAUUCCCCACGCAGAUGGCGCCGUUAAGCGAAUUCUCUGGCUAUCGUUUCUAAAGAGGGAAUGACACAGAUGGACAACAAACAAAGCAUCAUCACUGCGCGGAUACAUGGUAUGGAUGAAACCAGCUUCUUCUUGGGGACGAUGGUCAAACUGAAGGGGUGAGUGACGCCGGAACAGUUCGUAGGGGAUGCAGUAGGCUCAAAGACAAGUAUGACCUGAGGGUUGAAGGUGUGGCUAUGGAGAGGGCAGCGGCAAGGGAUGAUCAUGGUAGCGGCAAUGGGCGAUCAUGUAAGUAUGUAACUCAUCUAUCCCCGAGCUGCUUGAUAAUAACCCCUCUCUGUUAACCAUGUCUCUUGUAUUGGGAUUGAUCCCAGGUUAUACCAUUGAUACGAUCGGGCAUAAUAUUGAUUUUUCAUGAAGAAAAAAAGGGAAAUUACUAGAUUAGAUAUGAUGUUAUAUACUCCCUCCAUUCCUUUAUAUAAGGUGUAUUUGUUUUUUGAUAAAAUUCCACAAUGUAAGGUGCAUUUCUUCUAAUUCCUCGUAAUUCCAUCAUUACCCCUUCAAAAGAAGGAGAGUAUCUCUCCUCAUUGCAUGUAUCUUUUCUUGUAAAGAGAAAAGAGGAAAGUAUCUCUCUCCUGAUUGUGUUU